Schistocephalus solidus is the source of this 66-nucleotide non-coding RNA. The record is from Rfam. Lineage: Eukaryota; Metazoa; Platyhelminthes; Cestoda; Diphyllobothriidea; Diphyllobothriidae.
GGCCUCGUAGCUCAGUUGGUUAGUGCAUUAGAUGUACUGGCGUGGAUUCAAAUCCCACCGAGGCCG